This 753-nucleotide ribosomal RNA is filed under the name uncultured Actinomyces sp. RNAcentral describes it as "bacterial SSU rRNA". It matches the Rfam family "Bacterial small subunit ribosomal RNA", at positions 28 to 776 of the family's 1533-position model. Lineage: Bacteria; Bacillati; Actinomycetota; Actinomycetes; Actinomycetales; Actinomycetaceae. The record is from RNAcentral.
GACGAACGCUGGCGGCGUGCUUAACACAUGCAAGUCGAACGAAAAUACCAAGCUUGCUUGGUUGAUUAGUGGCGAACGGGUGAGUAACACGUGAGUAACCUGCCCCUUACUUUCCUGGAUAACUGCUCGAAAGGGUAGCUAAUACGGGAUAUUCUGACUGGUCUGCAUGGGUUGGUUUGGAAAGGUUGUUUUUCUGGUAAGGGAUGGGCUCGCGGCCUAUCAGCUUGUUGGUGGGGUGAUGGCCUACCAAGGCUUUGACGGGUAGCCGGCCUGAGAGGGUGGACGGUCACACUGGGACUGAGAUACGGCCCAGACUCCUACGGGAGGCAGCAGUGGGAAUAUUGCACAAUGGGCGCAAGCCUGAUGCAGCGACGCCGCGUGAGGGAUGAAGGCCUUCGGGUUGUAAACCUCUUUCGUCAGGGAACAAGGCACUGCUUUGGUGGUGUUGAGGGUACCUGGAUAAGAAGCGCCGGCUAACUACGUGCCAGCAGCCGCGGUAAUACGUAGGGCGCAAGCGUUGUCCGGAAUUAUUGGGCGUAAAGAGCUCGUAGGCGGCUGGUCGCGUCUGUCGUGAAAACUUCCGGCUCAACCGGGGGCUUGCGGUGGGUACGGGCCGGCUAGAGUGCGGUAGGGGUAACUGGAACUCCUGGUGUAGCGGUGGAAUGCGCAGAUAUCAGGAAGAACACCGAUGGCGAAGGCAGGUUACUGGGCCGUUACUGACGCUGAGGAGCGAAAGCGUGGGGAGCGAACAGG